ACGGCUCCUUUCUUUCGCAAUCACACUAAUUCCCAGGAUGUGUGGUAUGUCCUGAUGGGAAUCCCAGGGCUGGAAGGCUUGCAUACCUGGAUCUCCAUCCCUUUUUCUUUUAUGUACAUUGUGGCUGUUGCAGGCAAUAUCUUCUUGAUCUUCCUGAUCAUGACUGAGCGCAGUCUCCAUGAGCCCAUGUAUCUCUUCCUAUCCAUGCUGGCCUCAGCCGACUUCCUGCUCGCCACUGCUGCAGCCCCUAAGGUGCUGGCUAUCCUCUGGUUCCACUCCAUGGACAUAUCCUUUGGUAGUUGUGUGUCUCAGAUGUUCUUCAUACAUUUCAUCUUUGUGGCAGAAUCUGCUAUUCUCCUGGCAAUGGCAUUUGACCGCUAUGUGGCCAUCUGUUACCCACUGAGAUACACCAUUUUAACCUCAUCAGCCGUCAGGAAGAUUGGCAUAGCAGCUGUGGUCAGGAGCUUUUUCAUCUGCUGUCCGUUCAUCUUCCUGGUAUACCGACUUACAUAUUGUGGGAGAAACAUCAUUCCUCAUUCCUACUGUGAGCACAUUGCCAGAUUGGCUUGUGGCAAUAUCAAUGUCAAUAUCAUUUAUGGCCUCACUGUGGCCCUACUCUCUACAGGACUGGAUAUAGUGCUUAUCAUUAUAUCCUACACAAUGAUCCUUCACUCAGUGUUUCAGAUAUCUUCCUGGGCUGCCAGGUUCAAGGCCCUUAGUACGUGCGGCUCUCAUAUCUGUGUCAUAUUUAUGUUCUAUACCCCAGCAUUCUUUUCAUUUCUUGCCCAUCGCUUUGGAGGUAAAACCAUCCCUCACCACAUUCACAUCCUAGUGGGCAGUCUCUAUGUGUUAGUGCCCCCUAUGCUAAACCCCAUCAUUUAUGGGGUGAAGACCAAACAAAUUAAAGAUCGAGUGAUUUUGCUUUUCUCUCCUAUCAGUGUAUGCUGUUAA
RNA transcript from Homo sapiens (human), 951 nucleotides. It is a transcript of the gene named olfactory receptor family 52 subfamily Z member 1 (gene/pseudogene), with no coding region annotated. The record is from RefSeq and is marked validated. The transcript has a single exon. NCBI's taxonomy places the organism in Eukaryota, Metazoa, Chordata, Mammalia, Primates, Hominidae.